This 254-nucleotide ribosomal RNA is filed under the name uncultured bacterium. Its description in RNAcentral is "partial 16S ribosomal RNA". It matches the Rfam family "Bacterial small subunit ribosomal RNA", at positions 524 to 776 of the family's 1533-position model. The record is from RNAcentral.
UACGUAGGGGGCGAGCGUUGUCCGGAAUUAUUGGGCGUAAAGAGCGUGUAGGCGGUCCGGUAAGUCAGCUGUGAAAGUCAAGGGCUCAACCCUUGAAAGCCGGUUGAUACUGUCGGGCUAGAGUCCGGAAGAGGCGAGUGGAAUUCCCGGUGUAGCGGUGAAAUGCGCAGAUAUCAAGAGGAACACCUGAGGUGAAGACGGGUUGCUGGGCCGACACUGACGCUGAUAGCGCGAAAGCCAGGGGAGCAAACGGG